This 84-nucleotide transfer RNA is filed under the name Planctomycetota bacterium. Its description in RNAcentral is "Planctomycetes bacterium tRNA-Leu". It matches the Rfam family "tRNA". Rfam says of the family: Transfer RNA (tRNA) molecules are approximately 80 nucleotides in length. Their secondary structure includes four short double-helical elements and three loops (D, anti-codon, and T loops). Further hydrogen bonds mediate the characteristic L-shaped molecular structure. tRNAs have two regions of fundamental functional importance: the anti-codon, which is responsible for specific mRNA codon recognition, and the 3' end, to which the tRNAs corresponding amino acid is attached (by aminoacyl-tRNA synthetases). tRNAs cope with the degeneracy of the genetic code in two manners: having more than one tRNA (with a specific anti-codon) for a particular amino acid; and 'wobble' base-pairing, i.e. permitting non-standard base-pairing at the 3rd anti-codon position. Lineage: Bacteria; Pseudomonadati; Planctomycetota. RNAcentral also lists the same sequence under 1 other name. The record is from RNAcentral.
GGCCGAGUGGCGGAAUGGCAGACGCUGGGGACUUAAAAUCCCCUGCCCGUAAUGGGCGUGUGGGUUCAACUCCCACCUCGGCUA